Molecule: ribosomal RNA, 492 nt
Filed under: uncultured bacterium
Lineage: Bacteria
Description: partial 16S ribosomal RNA
Rfam family: Bacterial small subunit ribosomal RNA
Source: RNAcentral
AGUGAACGCUGGCGGUAGGCCUAACACAUGCAAGUCGAACGGCAGCACAGUAAGAGCUUGCUCUUACGGGUGGCGAGUGGCGGACGGGUGAGGAAUACAUCGGAAUCUACUUUUUCGUGGGGGAUAACGUAGGGAAACUUACGCUAAUACCGCAUACGACCUACGGGUGAAAGCAGGGGAUCUUCGGACCUUGCGCGAUUGAAUGAGCCGAUGUCGGAUUAGCUAGUUGGCGGGGUAAAGGCACACCAAGGCGACGAUCCGUAGCUGGUCUGAGAGGAUGAUCAGCCACACUGGAACUGAGACACGGUCCAGACUCCUACGGGAGGCAGCAGUGGGGAAUAUUGGACAAUGGGCGCAAGCCUGAUCCAGCCAUACCGCGUGAGUGAAGAAGGCCUUCGGGUUGUAAAGCCCUUUUGUUGGGAAAGAAAAGCAGCAGGUUAAUACCGCGCUGUUCUGACGGUACCCAAAGAAUAAGCACCGGCUAACUUCGUG